This 635-nucleotide ribosomal RNA is filed under the name Microbacteriaceae bacterium So2Pw_1261. Its description in RNAcentral is "bacterial SSU rRNA". It matches the Rfam family "Bacterial small subunit ribosomal RNA", at positions 381 to 1028 of the family's 1533-position model. The record is from RNAcentral. Lineage: Bacteria; Bacillati; Actinomycetota; Actinomycetes; Micrococcales; Microbacteriaceae.
GCCUGAUGCAGCAAUACCGCGUGGGGGAAGAAGGCCUUCGGGUUGUAAACCUCUUUUGUCGGGAAGAAGCGAAAUUGACGGUACUUGCGUAAAAAGCGCCGGCUAACUACGUGCCACCACCCGCGGUUAUACGCCAGGCGCAAGCGUUAUCCGGAAUUAUUGGGCGUAAAGAGCUCGUACGGGGUUUGUCGCGUCUGCUGGGAAAACCCGAGGCUCAACCUCGGGCCUGCGGUGGGUACGGGCAGACUACAGUGCGGUAGGGGAGAUUGGAAUUCCUGGUGUAGCGGUGGAAUGCCCAGAUAUCAGGAGGAACACCGAUGGCUAAGGCGGAUCUCUGGGGCGUAACUGACGCUCAGGAGCGAAAGGGUGGGGAGCAAACAGGCUUAGAUACCCUGGUAGUCCAUCCCGUACACGUUGGGAACUAGUUGUGGGGUCCAUUCCACGGAUUCCGUGACCCAUCUGACGCAUUAAGUUCCCCGCCUGGGGAGUACGGCCGCACGGGUAAAACUCAAAGGAAUUGACGGGGACCCGCACAAGCGGCGGAGCAUGCGGAUUAAUUCGAUGCAUCGCGAAGAAUCUUACCAAGGCUUGACAUAUACGAGAACGCUGCACAAAUGUAGAACUCUUUGGACACU